Molecule: long non-coding RNA, 598 nt
Filed under: Fukomys damarensis (Damara mole-rat)
Lineage: Eukaryota; Metazoa; Chordata; Mammalia; Rodentia; Bathyergidae
Description: lncRNA (ENSFDAG00000024262.1)
Source: RNAcentral
CUCAGUACUUGCUACCUUUGUGACAACAGUAAUGACCUCACUUCCUUUUGUUACUUGUCUUUCCUUUCUAGUCUCACUGUUUCUCUAAUGCCUCCAAUUAUUAUGCCUCAAAGCAUUCAUUAUUUGCUUUUUAAAAAUUUGUUCUCUCGAGUUUAACUUCCCAGGAUGGACCUUAGCUCUCUCUCUCCCUCCCCUUCCAACUUAUUACGUAGAGCCACACUCUUUAUUGCCUACCGCGCUUUGGAAAACCCGCCUACGGAGCUCAGGCAACGGUCAGUUUCUUUGUGAAGAACUUGCCUAUUCCUCAAGUUAGUUUUCCUCUCCUUUCUUCUAUGCACAAAGAUCCCUAUUGACAUGUGUAGCUUUCCUUACUGUAUUACAUUUCAAAACACACCAGCAAAAUCUUUUCUGCCUUUUCUGGAAGAGUGAAUCCUCCAAGGAUAAGUAAGAGCUGGCUACAUUAGCUUUUUGAGUUCUAAAUACUGCAUAUAUAGAGUAAUAGAAGAUAGGGAGGAAGGAUUUUUUUUUUUUUUUUUGGUACCGGGUAUCGAACUUGGGACCUUGCACUUGCAAGGCAGGUGGAGCCACUAAACUAAAU